UGUAGGCUUUGCCUGCUAUCUCUUACCCAUGUCUUUUAAGUACCUUACGUUUCCUCGGCGGGUCCGCCCGCCGAUUGGACAAUUUAAACCAUUUGCAGUUGCAAUCAGCGUCUGAAAAAACUUAAUAGUUACAACUUUCAACAACGGAUCUCUUGGUUCUGGCAUCGAUGAAGAACGCAGCGAAAUGCGAUAAGUAGUGUGAAUUGCAGAAUUCAGUGAAUCAUCGAAUCUUUGAACGCACAUUGCGCCCCUUGGUAUUCCAUGGGGCAUGCCUGUUCGAGCGUCAUUUGUACCUUCAAGCUCUGCUUGGUGUUGGGUGUUUGUCUCGCCUCUGCGUGUAGACUCGCCUCAAAACAAUUGGCAGCCGGCGUAUUGAUUUCGGAGCGCAGUACAUCUCGCGCUUUGCACUCAUAACGACGACGUCCAAAAGUACAUUUUUACACUCUUGACCUCGGAUCAGGUAGGGAUACCCGCUGAACUUAA
RNAcentral lists this ribosomal RNA (483 nucleotides) under Ascomycota sp. SL-9. RNAcentral describes it as "eukaryotic LSU rRNA". The stretch from base 133 to 286 matches the Rfam family "5.8S ribosomal RNA". Lineage: Eukaryota; Fungi; Ascomycota. The record is from RNAcentral.